AAUGAAAGCAGUCUGUGUUGAGAGAUUGAAAUGCAUUUCAAAGCCAGGCCUGACUCGGGUACAAGGAAGAACAGACCUAUGUACAUUUUGUAGGAAGAAAAAUGUGAAUGGAAAAGGGAGAAAGGGAGAGAAACAGGAAAAAUCUGAAUAAUACAUUAAAGUAACCAUAAUUUUGGAGAUGCAGUCAUCUUAUUGAAAUUGUGUAUGUGACCAGUGAUACUGAAGUCGGAUAUUUGCUCAGUCAGGAUGCUCAACAAUUUUAGUGUUUAAAGUUUGGAGCUGCAUGGGUUUGUGGAGGAAGUCGGCUCGUGAUAUUUCCUCAUGGCAGUGUUUCUUCUUCACCCCUUUGAAUUCAAAAGGAUGGCAUAGAUGUCAAAAAUAGUAAGUAAUGUGUGAUAUUUUCUUUAAUUAUUGUUAGUAGUUAAUCAAGUAAAGCUGAAAUGUGGUUAUUGAAAGAGUUUAGAAUCAUCACGCAUGCUUAGAAGGAAACUAGGUUUUGUGUGGCGUGUGCAUUAUUUGAUAUGAAUUACUUUUGGCUUGAUUUAACUGUUUAUCACAAUAUUGUGCUAAUGAGUGUCUUUUUCACUGCUGCUUUACCCUGUAUGGUCUAUAAUAGCUAAGUAUUGUGUGGCAUGUAAUAUAUGCAUUUUUUAGCAUUUAACAGUUCAGGAAACAAUGCAAAAAAUUGUAGGAAACUAUCUUUGGAGAGGUUAUGUUUUCUUGUCUUAUGUAUCACACAGUCUUCCUCACACAUUUAUGGUUUUGAUUCCUAUCAGUCAUGUUUUCUAAGGAGCUUUCUACUUGUGCUUGAAAUAAAUUCUUGUGUAAAACAUGAGCUUAUUUGUUCAAAAUAAAUAUCCAGAGAGAGGCAACAGUUGCUUUGAUAUUAUCAACCAGUCAUAUAAUUUUAAGGCGCUUUAGGCUACAUUCUUAAAAUUUAAGCAAGCAUUAUAACCAAAAUAACAAAGCUAUGUUUAUAGGGAUUAUCCCCUUUUAAGAAAAGUGAAAAGUCUAUUUUCAGCUUCCUAAAAAUAAGACUGACGUGUUAUCUAAAGACAUGAUACUUUAGAUUAGAGUAUAUGUCAAGUAUUUUUUUUAAAUUUAAAUAUAGCGUUGACAUUUUUAAGUAACUAUGGUGCAUGGUUUAAAUAUGUAGAUACCUUAAAUCAGAAUGAAGUGAUAUGGGGCAGAAUCAGUUCUAGCGUCUCCUUGAUAGUUUGAACAGUAUCUGCAUUAGCGUGGGCACUGCCAGAUGAAAUGUGAGAAUUCCAUGUAGGGAACCGUGAGACCUUUCUUUCUAGAGCUAAGAACAAGUUUAAGUGAAACCAAGACCUACGUUGUUUAACCCUGAAGGUAUCUGAGUUUUUCAAAGAGAUGUCAAAAUGGGGAAUGGGCUCCAGAUGGUUUCACAUAGGUCUCUACGAGGACCAAACCCUUUUCCCUCCUAGCUCUUCCUCAUAGCAAACCUAAAUUCCUGGAAGUUUGUAUUUAAGAUAAAGUCUGUUUUCUAUGCUUUUGCUGUUUUAGGUCCCUUUUCCAACUUCCUACAAAUUUCUCUCUGCCUGUGGUUUUGAGCCAUUUGCUGCCUCCUAAUGCCUGAUUUUAAAAUAGCACACAUGGCAAACUGCCAAGAAGGUGGCAGUGGGUAUUGGUUUGUAUUGGUAUUGAAGUUCUCAAGGUUGUUGUUACCCAUAAUUUACAACAGUUGCUACAAAACAGAUGAUUAAAACCUGAGGGGUAGGAGGAAAGGAGAAGAGUAAAAUUGAUUGGUACACUUCUUGAUGGAUCUAAGUGUGGUUUCUUCCCGUGAAAACAAGUUGGAUUGUUGUGUUGUCUAUGUGAACAUAAUGUUCAAGAUGAUCUGUGCUGUUCCAUCAUUGCCUACAGUCUUAAACUGAUAGAGAAGCACAAUAUGAAAGAGCUUUUGUUUGAAAUAUGUAAUUACUUAUACCAGUUAUACAGAUUUUUUUUUAUUUCAUUCCUUUUUGUAAAAAAUUAAGCUUGUUAAAUUGAGAUUGUUGCUAUUUUUUAGUUCUUAAAAUAAAAAUUUUAUUAUUUAGUCCUGUCAUUGCUGUUUUAUUGCUAACCCAAAUUACUACCUGAGCAAUAAUACUUUGUCUUUUGCUUAUUAAUUACAUGUCCAGUCAAUCUUGUAAGUGUCUUCCAAAAUUUCUCUUCUAUGUUGUCUUUAAGCAUUUUUGGUAAAAGCUUGAGAUAACUUUUUGGGUGUAGUUAUAAAGAAUGCCCGUAAAGAUAUGUUAAGGAAUAGGUAAUCAGACCUGAAAAUCAGUUAAAGUUCCUGCUUGCUUGAUUUAUCAAGGAUUGAUUAUUCUAGAGCCCUUGUUAGUGAAGAAAUGAAUGUUUCCUUUUUCCCUCAACAUAGGUGCAAAUAUUAUUCUGUAAGCACCUGCAUUUUGGGUACCCGGAGAGCUAGAUAUUCCACAGCUAACCAUUGGGGUAAGGGAAGCUUCUCAAAUCUUUUGCUUAUGGGCUUUCUAUUCCUGGACAUAACAAUUGAUAUGCCAUGUACUGUACUACUUGCUAAACCAAAACAAAAACAAAGACAAAAAAAAAAA
Molecule: long non-coding RNA, 2576 nt
Filed under: Sus scrofa (pig)
Lineage: Eukaryota; Metazoa; Chordata; Mammalia; Artiodactyla; Suidae
Description: lncRNA (ENSSSCG00030004397.1)
Source: RNAcentral